This 1624-nucleotide long non-coding RNA is filed under the name Homo sapiens (human). RNAcentral describes it as "HSALNT0301651". The record is from RNAcentral. Lineage: Eukaryota; Metazoa; Chordata; Mammalia; Primates; Hominidae.
UAAUUUCAGUUCCUUUCCUUUUCUGGUAGAGAUGAAGGAGAUGCGUUUCAUCCGUGGACCCAAAACUCUGAUGCCAGUCACAGACUCAGGAAGACAUUCUUCCCUUGGUGUUUAAUCACGCGGGGACGCCUGCCUGAUUACUCACCCACGUUUCAGAGGUGUCUGACCACAUGGGGAUGCCUGCCUUGGUCCUUCAACCUUAGCAGCAAGUACCACUUUUCUGGGGGUGUGUGGGACCCCAUGGAAAAUCAGACUGUUCAACUCACCUGGCAGCCACUGACAGAGCCCCUGGAAAUCUGGCCCAAGACUCUCUAACUGACUCCUUCCCAGAUCUUCUCAGUUUAGAGUCUGAAGACUGACACUGCCCGAUCACCUUGGAAGCCCCCUAAACCAUCUUGGAUGCUGAGCUUCGGGUAACUCUCACAGUGGUGGAUUUCUGCAUCCUCUCAGUCAUGAUGAUAAAGGAUUUACUACCUCAGUCAUGUCACCACUCUUGAAUAUCAUUCCCAUGGCAUGGUGCAGUAGGAACUGGUUGACUUUUAAAACUAAGUUAUAAUAAUCUUAAAGCGAUUGGAAAUUGAGAAGAAUGUAAUGGAAAAUAUAUUUAUAUGGCUUGGUUAGCCAAAAUUCCCUCAUAAAGCACCAACCUGCAGGAUCCCUUAGCAAUUUACUGAAGAUGAAAAAUAAGCAGAACAACUUUUUAUAGGUCUGUAGUCACUAGAGAUUAAUUACAAACACUAGGUGUAUUUUAACCUAAUUCUUGGUUCCUGAAAAGCACUGCAGAUGACAGCAACAAAAGAUAAUACCUGCUUUUACCACGGGGGAAAAAAAUGGAUAACUGCGAGAGGUGAUGGAUAUGUUAAUUUGUUCCACAAUAGUAACCAUGUUAACUAAAUACAUGUAUCUGAUAACAUCAUGUUGUAGAUCUUAAAAUACACACAAUAAAAUUUAUUUUUAAGUUAAUCAGAUUCCCACCUUAUUUCUUCUUAAAUAUCCUUGGUGGGAAAAAAAUGAGAUGGUAAACAAAUUGUUGAGCAAUUCCUAAACAUUCCUCAUUAAUUAUAUAUCUAGUGGAGGGGUUCAUUUUGUUUUGAAAUUAGUAUUGCAUUGAAGUAGUGUUUUUAGAUAUUCUCAUAAUACAGUUUACCUCACCCAUAGGCCUGUCUGGUGUGAUUUAUAAGAGACCAAGAAAACUUCAGCCUAAAAACACUUCCCAUGCUGAUGCCUGAAGUUGCUGAGUUAGGAAUUGAUUUAUCUUGCUUCAUUUAGUUCAUUGCCCAUUCUCAACUCGUUUUAUUUUAAAAUCAAAAUGUGUUUUCAAACAUGAUCCACUUAACUGACAGCCUGAAUUCAAUCCGUGUAGGUUACUAAGUAAUAUUUUAAAUCCUUUUUCAUUCCUUUUACCUCAAAGUAACGGACCUGAGGAGAUGACAGCCCAUGAGCUAACCAUCCCCUGAUUAUUACAUGAUUGCAUGUAAUGACACUUUAGGAAAGGAGUGGCCCUGAAAGUCUUUUAAGGACAAUUUUCUUAGAGUUUACAAAGUGGGAAUAUUCCAUGAAAGCCUUUAUUUGCUCUGUGUUUAUUUAUCUUAUAUAUCUACCUAUUACUAUUCUUAGGAUGAAU